GUGAGUAAUUGAUUUCCUCUCAUAUUAUUUAUACAGUAAAAUUCUAUGUUUAUAUGUUUCAGUUCCUUAAUGUAAGAAUGUAUUAAAUGUGGUCAUACCACAUGUGCCGUAAUACAAUUUGUAGAAUUUAUUAUAUUGUGCCAAAUGUGAUAUAUCUAGUAGUGAUACAAUUAAAGUCCAUAUACAGAUUUCACUCAUUAAUACAGACCUUCUUGAUGGACAGAAAGGACCAACACACUGAAUUUGUUAAACUGGAAAGGUUAUAAUGUAAAAUAGAUUUUCCUCCGAAUAUUGAUACAGGGUGGUGAAUAGUUAUGCGAAAAUGCGAACUGCUGUGUCACAAAAGAUAUUGUCACCUUAAAAUGAUAAAUCUUAGACAAUAUUGAGUAAAUCAAAUGCUAAAAUCUCAGUUAAGUCCAUCUCAAUUCCAAUUUGUAACACGUAGAACAAAAGGUGGAAAAGGUUCAAGGGCAAAGGGGGUGAAUAUUUAUGCAAGGCACUGUAUAUUCCCUCCUUAUAAUCUUGGAUAGCCGUAUUACUGUCAGCAUCAGCAUCUAUUCAUAUGACUGGGUGUACAGUGUUCUUGUGAUGAGGAGUAUCAUAUUUCGAGACAAAACCUUAAAGCUAAUGAAAGAAAUAUAGUAUACAGUCACAAGAAGGCUCCUAUGGAGCGAAAUAAGGGGAGAGAAAGAGAUUUAACCAGAACAGAGAGGGGGAAAGAGAGCUUUUGUAAGGGUGUGAUGAGACUCUGCAGGGUGCCCAGCCAGAUAGUCUGCUUGUAGGCAUCAGGAUCCAGAUGCUCGCCCAGCUGUUCUUCUUUCCAGACGAAUAUCCCCCUCUGAAUUAAAGCCAGAGGGUUAUGCCUUAUCCCAGUGCUAGCAGACUUUGAUCCUGUGAGAGCAUGUCUUGGAUAUGGACAUGGUUCAACAUGGAAAAAGUUCUCCAUUCUCAGUGGGAGAUGAGAAAGCUGAGCAGGAUCAUUACUGAAGCAUUGUGUUUCUGUGUGUUUUGAGAGAAUGCUGAAAUAACAUUUGGACAGCUGCUCUACUUUCAUCAGAAGUCUUCCACUUGCUCCCUCCAGCACUGCAAUGCUGGUUGCAUCAAUGCCCCCUGGAGGCCAGCUGGAAAAGGGGCAGUUUAGAGGUGACACUGCCAUCUGGCUUUUGAAAUUAAAAGCAGAUCUCUAAAUGUGUAUCUAGGGUCGUUUAUUUAUUUAUUUAUUGGUCAUAUAGCAUCUAACAUCUGAAUCUGACCCCUCUGCACAUGCAUUAUAAUCACAAGUCAGUGUGACCAGUGACUCCCCCCCCCCCCUGAAGUUUUCCUACUUGAGCAUUCUCCUCAAGACCAUUCCCACAGUUUCAUGCAGUGGUCCAGUCACGAGUCACGAGGGUCAGGGGAAGAAAUGAAAGAACGCUUUUCUGAGCCUAUACCUCACACAACAGGAAAUUUUACAGUGCAUCGAUUAUAGUGUUUGUAAGAAGGUUGAAGAUGAUUGCUCAGAUACAUUUAUGCUCUCUGGCACGGCUUGGCUAUUGUGCCUGCUCCAUUCACUUAAAUUUUAUUGCAAAACAAACACAUUCAUUACACAACAUUUCUAACUGUA
This is a long non-coding RNA of Ictalurus punctatus (channel catfish), 1603 nucleotides long. The record is from Ensembl. Lineage: Eukaryota; Metazoa; Chordata; Actinopteri; Siluriformes; Ictaluridae.